RNAcentral lists this ribosomal RNA (253 nucleotides) under uncultured bacterium. Its description in RNAcentral is "partial 16S ribosomal RNA". It matches the Rfam family "Bacterial small subunit ribosomal RNA", at positions 524 to 776 of the family's 1533-position model. The record is from RNAcentral.
UACAGAGGUCCCGAGCGUUGUUCGGAUUCAUUGGGCGUAAAGGGUGCGUAGGCGGCGGGGCAAGUCAGAUGUGAAAUCCCGGGGCUCAACCCCGGAACUGCAUUGGAUACUGCCUUGCUAGAGUACUGGAGAGGGAACUGGAAUUUACGGUGUAGCAGUGAAAUGCGUAGAUAUCGUAAGGAAGACCAGUGGCGAAGGCGACUCUCUGGACAGUUACUGACGCUGAGGCACGAAGGCCAGGGGAGCAAACGGG